This 1985-nucleotide long non-coding RNA is filed under the name Macaca fascicularis (crab-eating macaque). Its description in RNAcentral is "lncRNA (ENSMFAG00000057707.1)". The record is from RNAcentral. Lineage: Eukaryota; Metazoa; Chordata; Mammalia; Primates; Cercopithecidae.
UUUUUUUUUUUUUUUUUUUUUUGGCUGUUAUUUAUAUGGGGUAUUUUCUUUGGCUUGAACAUAUAUUAGAGAGUUACAAUGAUUCGUACCAAAUUGUUUCUUGAUCAUAAAUAUGAGAAGAGUAGGAAACGGCUGUCAAAUAAAAUAAGCUGGUUUUGUGAUAUGGUUGUAUUUGUGUGUUAAUACAGUGAAUUUUUCCCCCAAGAUCUCAAGGUUGGGUUCAUGUGGAAGGAAAACAUGGGGCACUGCUGCCAUCUAGCGUCCACUAUUUCUUGUUUGGCGUUUGCAGAGAGAUCAGUGGUCCCUGUGUUUCACUUCUCUUACCUCCUGUGGUUCCCUGCCUGCAUUUUGAACCUCCUCCAGAACACUCUUGCGCCCUCCCUGCAGUCAGGCUGCAGCUUGAGCCUAUUAUUAGGCAACUGCAAGCUCCCCAGACACACACAUCCACACUUUGAUUUUUAAAUGAUUGUGAAAGCCUUAAUCUGUAUCAGAAGUCCAGUACGUGUUACUUAGAGCAGUAUUAACCAAAUGGGGUUAGAGUGAGUGAGGGACCCAGGACGUCACACCAGGAAGUUCUGUGGCCACUUCUCUGCCGGGGUCUGUGCUGCCUGGAGCAUCAUACUUCCGUACUUGUGUACUGACUACAUUCUCCAUCCUGGGCAUCACACUCUCCAGUCUCAGGACCUGGCUACGCAACACUAGAAAUACCCUUGGCGCUCAGGACCAACCAGAGAGUUGAGCAGUGCGAUGAUUAAAGGCAAAGAGGUGCUGACGUCCUGGAAGGGAUAAUGACCUCCCUAAAUACAGGUAGCCACUAGUUUAAGACAAGGUUGGAGAAAUGACAACGUAAACAUCUGAGAAGUGCAGUCGCUGAAGCGGGAGAGUAUAUUUUAAAUGGAAUUGUCUGAGGAGGGUACAGAAAAUAUGAACAUGAUACUUGAGAUAAAAUUAGAAAAUUUUAAAACAUGCACAAAUGAGAAUGCUAAUUAGCUAGAAAAGCUGUACAUGUGCGAAAAUCUUAGAAAAUAUGGUGUGUUGUCAUGAUGGCUAAAUGUGACAUUAUUUGGUUUGUUUAAUGUCACAUAUGAAAAAAAACUGAUGGCAACCAAAGAAUUGGGGAAAAGUAUUUCCUUGACAGAGGGGUCAGUAUUAGAGCCACGCAAUUUAUGUCUCCAGCACUGCAGCGCCUACCGUGGGUGAGCAGAAGUGUGAGAGAGCUUAAGGAAUAAAAGCAGAAGUCAAAACAGUCACAUUUUGUUUACAAAGACAUUUUAUACGUAACUUCAUUGAAACCAUGCUUGUCUUUAUCACUCCCACUUCCAACGGUAAGGACAUGGUUUUGAGAAACCAGGGGACUUGAAAAGGGGUCACAUCGGACUGAGGGCCAGAAUGUGCGUGACACUCAAACCUUUUGCUGCAUCAAUAUUUAAAAACCAAGCCCUCCCACCCGUUGCUGACUGAAAAACAUACCUGGACUCCAAGGUUCCAACACACAUGGCGCUACGCCCCCAGGGUGGCAUGAUAAAAGAACAGAGAGACACCUCUAUAGAAGACUCCACUCAACAGCAGCAGAAUGCACACUCCUUUCAAGUACACAUGGAGCGUUCUCCAGGACAGACCAUUUCCUAAGCCAUUAAACAAACAAACAAACAAGAAACUAUGAACGUUUGCAACUCUUUAUUUAGGUAAAUUGAGAUUUACUUAACUAUCCUCAUUGACUGGAUUUAUAAGUAGAUGUUAAUCAUCUUCCCAUUUUUAUAAAAUAAAUUAACAGCUUUCACAUGUAUACUAUACACACACAUGGAUAUAUAAAUGACAUUAAAAUGCAGCAAACUAACAUGAUAAAUUGAGCUGUCAAGGGACGGCCCACACUAGGAAUGAUCCACUGGGAGGAAUGACAACACUGCAGAUUCUCUCCUUUCACAAUUACGUAGCCAAAUGGAGGGUCACUGCAGGCGUCAGCAUGUAUCACGAUGACCUGGAAG